GUUUUCCUACGGGAGGCAGCAGUGAGGAAUAUUGGUCAAUGGGCGGGAGCCUGAACCAGCCAAGUCGCGUGAAGGAAGAAGGUACUUAGUAUUGUAAACUUCUUUUGUCGGGGAACAAAGGCGGAGACGCGUCUCCGGAUGAGUGUACCCGAAGAAAAAGCAUCGGCUAACUCCGUGCCAGCAGCCGCGGUAAUACGGAGGAUGCGAGCGUUAUCCGGAUUUAUUGGGUUUAAAGGGUGCGUAGGCGGGCUGUUAAGUCAGCGGUCAAAUGUCGGGGCUCCACCCCGGCCUGCCGUUGAAACUGG
RNAcentral lists this ribosomal RNA (305 nucleotides) under uncultured bacterium. RNAcentral describes it as "bacterial SSU rRNA". It matches the Rfam family "Bacterial small subunit ribosomal RNA", at positions 333 to 636 of the family's 1533-position model. The record is from RNAcentral.